This is a long non-coding RNA of Heterocephalus glaber (naked mole-rat), 1841 nucleotides long. The record is from Ensembl. Lineage: Eukaryota; Metazoa; Chordata; Mammalia; Rodentia; Bathyergidae.
AUUUUGGAAACACACUUAGUAUUCAAGGAAAAUAAAGUAUAUUUUAAAACUGAAUGGGCUGUGUGUGUGUUUCUAGCUCAUCCAGCUCUAACACCUCCAGUAUGGCUCUCAUUUAUAGACUUUUGUCAGUUCAGACCAGGCAUGGCUUCUAAUUUUUGGUUUAGAGAUAUCAAAAACUAUGCUUUUUUAAUAACCUAGAAAUAAUGGUUAUAGAAGAAUUAUUUCAGAUAAGUAAAAAAAAUUUCACACAAUUCUGCCUGAUCCCAUUAAGUCAAGCACACAUUCUACCAUCCAUAUUUCUGAGCUCCCUGAUCUACUCUCAAAUUUGUAACCUUCGUUCUGGCUGCCAGGUGACAUCGCAGAUGUCUCUCUGUUUAUGUUCUUUUUUAAUGAAAGGAAAGGAGUACAUCUUACAAGAACAAAAAGACAUUAUGAAACAAUUUGUUUACUUUGAUACCAAUUCGGUUUGGAAAAUGCGUACAUGUGUUAAAACACUUCAAUUUGUGUUGACUUCGAGUCUAUAUUUAAUUCACUAAUUUUAUCUUUUCUCUCUUUAGUGUAGAUUGAGACAUCAUCACUGUAGAGGGGUCCCUCCCUGAGAGAAAGGCCUUGCCCUUCAUUAUUCAAUCCUAUAAGGCUUUCUAAGUCUUCUCUUACACUCCCUCAGGGAUUCUCUCCCUAGGACAUCUUGCACACUCCAGUGAAACCAUCCCUUCUCAGUCUCCUGCUGCCUUCCCUAUGUCCACCUACCUGUUUCUGCCAAGGCAUGCUGGAGCUACCUGAUGUUUCAUCCAAUAGAUGCUCUGAAUGAGACAUAGGUGAAAGAAUUUCUAAAUGAGUCCCAGGCACAUAAAGUAGUACAGAAGAAACAAAAAUAAUGGAUUAAGUAAGCAGAAGAUGGAAGUCAUCAAACCUAUACCCCGGUUGCCAGACUCAUCAUAUGACCACAGAACCUGGGGUAAAAAGUCCCCUCCAUUUGUUGGCCUCUGCACUAACAGAGGAGGUUAUUCAAUAUAGAAACUGACUGGGGAUGUGGGCUUUGAAGUGAGAAGUAUGUGAAUUUGACCCUGGAGGUGGUACAUGUUCUAGGGCAAGUAAUUUAUCUACCAUGUGUCCUUUAAUUGUUGGUGCCUUUUUAUUAUUAUUAUAUCAUUAUUAUCCCACUACCCAUCCAAAGGAUAAAUUAUCUGUGAUGAUAAUACUGCCUGGUAUUAAAAAUGCUUUAUGAACCUUUAAUUUUUUUUAACUGAUUGAGUGUUUAACAUACAGAUUAAAAGGCUUUGCAUGGAAAAGUUUUGAAUGCAUAUAAGCAUAUAACACUAUUUUUUAAUUUGUACCUUUACAUGAUAUAUCUUGGUUCUUAUCUUUUUCCCCAUUCCCCUGUCCUUGCUUCACCCCCUCCAUCCCUCCCUAUUUACAAAGACUUUGUUUCCAUUUUUUCUUUUUCUCAUAUUUAUUUCUUUCCAUUCUUUCCUUUCCCCUAUCCCUCCCACUUCCCCUUCCCCUUUGGACCUUUUCUUCCUAUUUCACAUUAUCUAUUAUACAUACUCAAGUGAAAUAAAUAGGACACACAUGUGUAAAUAUCGAAUCAUUUCUUUGGUAUGAGAAACGGAAAGUGUAAAUAAGGAUCAAAAUGUAUAACAUUAUUUUAUAUGCUAUAUGUAUGAUAUUUCCAUUUUCUAGCAUUAUUUAAGAAUUGUCAUUGGGUCAUCCAGUCAGUGUUCAUAAUAAAGCAAAGUUAAGUAAUAUUUUUUACCUUGCCUUUUAAUCAGUUAUUUGUAUACAUAUUAGUAUUAAGAUAAAAGCAAAGUAAAAAAUAACAAAAAUUCAAGAUGGUAAAG